GAGGUCUCACUAUAUUGCCCAGGCUGGUCUUGAACUCCUGGCCUUAAGCAAUCCUCCUGCCUUGGCCCCCCAAAGUGCUGGAGUUACAGAUGUGAGCCUCUGUGCUCAGCCCAUCCUUGGCUGUUCAAGUGUAGAGCCAAGAAUAUUAAGGAACGUGGACACAAAGGAUGAGGUUGGAACACAAGUUUAAUAAGCAAAAGAAGAAAGCUCUCCCCAGCGGAGAGGGGACCCGAGAGAGGGUUGCCAACUAGGAGGCUGAAUCUGGGGGUUUUGUGAACUGGGAAGGGGAAGAAUGCUCACUAGUCUGUGAGCUGUCUUGGAGAAAGCACAACUUCACUUGGCCCAGGACCUUAGCUUGGGACCAACCAGAGGCUGAAGUGAAAUUUUGGCCCAAGACCAAUCAGGGGCUGAAGUGAAAGUUUGGCCCAGGACCAAACAGGGGCUGAAAUGAUGAUUCAUGGAGGCUUGGCUCACAGUCCAAAGCAUGUCCAGAAAAGGAAAUUGGCCACCAGAGCCUGUUAGUUCAAGCCGCACCGAUUUGUAAGCCCCCACCAUUUCACAGACUCUGGUCAGAGGGAAACAUUCCACUGGGGUUUGGGCUGAGGGAAACUUCCUCCCCAACCGCCUGACUUCCUUAUCACAUCCUGCUGGGGAAAGGCCCAAGAAACAUCCUUAUCAACAUUCUCCCAGGCAACAAGCUAUACUGCCCAGAUCCCUCCUGCCCAGGCCUAUAAUUACUCCAGCCUAUAAGCGGCAGUGGGCUCUGGCAUUUAGUUGGUCCCCUCCAUAGAGCCGCCAAGUCUCUCUCUUUCUUUAACCUUCACCUUCCCUUCAAAAUCUAACAGAGCCCACCGUAUACAUGCCCACAAAAAAGCGACUAUUUCCUGGAAGCCCG
RNAcentral lists this long non-coding RNA (895 nucleotides) under Homo sapiens (human). RNAcentral's name for it is "HSALNT0149227". Lineage: Eukaryota; Metazoa; Chordata; Mammalia; Primates; Hominidae. The record is from RNAcentral.